Xenia sp. Carnegie-2017 is the source of this 142-nucleotide long non-coding RNA. RefSeq lists it as uncharacterized. Lineage: Eukaryota; Metazoa; Cnidaria; Anthozoa; Malacalcyonacea; Xeniidae. The record is from RefSeq and is a predicted model, not a curated record. The transcript is spliced from 3 exons.
GAUCAAACAUAGCUACGUAAUGUUACAGUUUUACUUGCAUUUGGCUACAUUUUGGCAGUAGCGUCGCCAGGAUUUCAUGAGUGGAAAGGCACAAAAUUUGUACCAGCCCUGCCGUACCAAUGAUAUUUGAAAAGACUAGCAA